UAAAAGGUCUUACCACAGGGGCUGUCAUACCCAUACCUACAUCAGCUGUCUUCUUCCUCUCUCUGACCUGGGUUUAUCUCUAUUGCAGAAGAAUGGCUCUCAGCUCCCGGUGCUGCCCAUCUGAUAUAUGCCCCAAACCAUGUGUUGAUGCUUGCAACUGGCCAUGUGUUACAUCUUGCGGUGACUCAAAGGCAGUGGUCUAUGCUCCACCAGUUAUCGUGCACUUCCCAGGACCAAUCCUCACCUCCUGCCCUCAGGAGAGCAUUGUGGGAACCUCCAUGCCAAACAUAAUACGUGGUGGUGGGGGCCCAUACUCUUCUGGGACCAUUGGUUCUGGUUUUUCCUCUGGGUUUAGUUCCGGCUUUAGUUCUGGUUCUGGCUCUGGGUUUGGUGGUGGCUAUGGAUUGGGUGGUGGCUAUGGAUUGGGUGGCGGCUAUGGAAUUGGUGGUGGCUAUGGAAUGGGUGGUGGCUAUGGGAUUGGUGGUUGCUAUGGAUUUGGAGGUGGCUAUAAGUCUGGUGGUUACUAUGGGUCUGUGUCAUCCCGGCGCCGUCGAUUCAGCUCUGUAGGCUGUGGGCCGUGCUAAACCCAGCAGCAACAUCCACAGAACAAGGAACGCCCAAGUAAUGAAAAGCAAGAUACAGUAUCACAGCUGAGCUGGCGGGGCUGGCUCUCAGGUUUGCUGAGCACCCACAACUCCCAUGGACAACAGACAGAGUCAUGAUUGCUCAGUGUCUCUGAAAAUCAGACCCAUCUCUAUAUUUUCCGUGUGUGCUUCACCUUUACUUAGUGGAUUGUUUUUUGGUGCUACAUAUUUUUAGUAUAUGCUUGCAUGGCACUUUGUGCUGCUGGCCGUCAGCUUUGGGAAAACCAACAAGUUGACUUGUUCGAGAUUGGGGCUUGAUGCUGCAGCAAAAGAAGUCAAACGUCUUGUGUGAAGUGCAGUCCCAUACAACAGAUGAUUGGACAUGACCAGUCACGGAGUCCUGGAAGCAACUUUCUCCUUUUCAUUGCCUUAUUCUGCCAAUGUAUACUCAGCCUCUUGUAUUAAAGCUCUGUUGCAUCACA
Long non-coding RNA from Alligator mississippiensis (American alligator), 1066 nucleotides. RefSeq lists it as uncharacterized. Lineage: Eukaryota; Metazoa; Chordata; Crocodylia; Alligatoridae. The record is from RefSeq and is a predicted model, not a curated record. The transcript has 2 exons.